Molecule: small nucleolar RNA, 122 nt
Filed under: Echinops telfairi (small Madagascar hedgehog)
Lineage: Eukaryota; Metazoa; Chordata; Mammalia; Afrosoricida; Tenrecidae
Description: Small nucleolar RNA SNORA61 (ENSETEG00000026163.1)
Source: RNAcentral
ACCAUCCAGACCCCUUGCCCUCAGAUCUAAAUAAUAGUCUGAGAGGCUGAAAAACGGGAGUUGAAGUAAAACUGAAAUGGACGGAGAGUCUUUAGAGACAUAGAAGUUCAUUUCAUACAUAU